RNAcentral lists this long non-coding RNA (1043 nucleotides) under Salmo salar (Atlantic salmon). RNAcentral's name for it is "lncRNA (ENSSSAG00000108410.1)". The record is from RNAcentral. Lineage: Eukaryota; Metazoa; Chordata; Actinopteri; Salmoniformes; Salmonidae.
GGCUGAAACACAUUAGCGCUUUUGGCAAGUGCUCUAUCAGAGGACAAUGGGCUUAGGCGCGUGCACAAGUCGACCCCAUGUUUUUAUUUUCUAUCGUCUUUGAACCUAAACAGAGAUUCCCGGUCGGAAUAUUAUCGCUUUUUUACGAGAAAAAUGGCAUAAAAAUAGAUUGACAUGCUUCGAAGUACUGUAAUGGAAUAUUUAGAAUUUUUUGGUCACGAAACUCGUCGGGCGCGUGACCCUUAUUUACCCUUCAGAUAGUGUCUUGAAUGCACGAACAAAACGCCGCUGUUUGGAUAUAAAUAUGGAUUAUUUGGGACCAAACCAACAUUUGUUAUUGAAGUAGCAGUCCUGGGAGUGCAUUCUGACGAAGAACACCAAAGAUUGCAGCCGGUAGCAACAAGAAAAAGCACUGCGAUGUGUGUGGAUCCAAGAAGGACAGGAAGACACAGAACACAUACAUCAAGUGCAGGAAAUACAUUUGCAACACACACAGUAGAACUCUGUCCCUCAUGUGGACCUGAGCCCUAGGACCAUGUCUCAGGACUACCUGGUAUGAUGACUCCUUGCUGUCCCCAGUCCACCUGGCCGUGCUGCUGCUCCAGUUUCAACUGUUCUGCCUGCGGCUAUGGAACCCUGACCUGUUCACCGGACGUGCUUGUUGCACCCUCGACAACUACUAUGAUUAUUAUUAUUUGACCAUGCUGGUCAUUUAUGAACAUUUUAACAUCUUGACCAUGUUCUGUUAUAAUAUCCACCCUGCACAGCCAGAAGAGGACUGGCCACCCCUCAUAGCCUGGUUCCUCUCUAGGUUUCUUCCUAGGUUUUUGGCCUUUCUAGGGAGUUUUUCCUAGGGAGUUUUUCCUAGCCACCGUGCUUCUUUCACAUGCAUUGCUUGCUGUUUGGGGUUUUAGGCUGGGUUUCUGUACAGCACUUUGAGAUAUCAGCUGAUGUACGAAGGGCUAUAUAAAUACAUUUGAUUUGACAUACCCUCCUGUAUAUCCCCACAUUCCCUCCUGUAUAUUCCCACAUUUCACCCUGUA